This 515-nucleotide ribosomal RNA is filed under the name uncultured bacterium. RNAcentral describes it as "partial 16S ribosomal RNA". It matches the Rfam family "Bacterial small subunit ribosomal RNA", at positions 28 to 523 of the family's 1533-position model. The record is from RNAcentral.
GAUGAACGCUGGCGGCGUGCCUAAUACAUGCAAGUCGAGCGAAUGGAUUAAGAGCUUGCUCUUAUGAAGUUAGCGGCGGACGGGUGAGUAACACGUGGGUAACCUGCCCAUAAGACUGGGAUAACUCCGGGAAACCGGGGCUAAUACCGGAUAACAUUUUGAACCGCAUGGUUCGAAAUUGAAAGGCGGCUUCGGCUGUCACUUAUGGAUGGACCCGCGUCGCAUUAGCUAGUUGGUGAGGUAACGGCUCACCAAGGCAACGAUGCAUAGCCGACCUGAGAGGGUGAUCGGCCACACUGUUACUGAGACACGGCCCAGACUCCUACGAGAGGCAGCAGUAGGGAAUCUUCCGCAAUGGACUAAAGUCUGACGGAGCAACGCCGCAUUAGUGAUAAAGGCUUGCGGGUCUUAAAUCUCUUUUGUUAGGGAAUAACAAGUGCUAGUUGAAUAAGCUGGCACCUUGACGGUACCUAACCAGAAAGCCACGGCUAACUACGUGCCAGCAGCCGCCGUAA